Molecule: ribosomal RNA, 596 nt
Filed under: Rhodospirillales bacterium Cul_0278
Lineage: Bacteria; Pseudomonadati; Pseudomonadota; Alphaproteobacteria; Rhodospirillales
Description: bacterial SSU rRNA
Rfam family: Bacterial small subunit ribosomal RNA
Source: RNAcentral
GUCGCACGGACCCUUCGGGGUGAGUGGCGGACGGGUGAGUAUCGCGUAGGGAUCUAUCCAUGGGUGGGGGAUAACAUCGGGAAACUGGUGCUAAUACCGCAUGAUACCUGAGGGUCAAAGGCGCAAGUCGCCUGUGGAGGAGCCUGCGUUCGAUUAGCUUGUUGGUGGGGUAAAGGCCUACCAAGGCGAUGAUCGAUAGCUGGUCUGAGAGGAUGAUCAGCCACACUGGGACUGAGACACGGCCCAGACUCCUACGGGAGGCAGCAGUGGGGAAUAUUGGACAAUGGGCGAAAGCCUGAUCCAGCAAUGCCGCGUGUGUGAAGAAGGUCUUCGGAUUGUAAAGCACUUUCGACGGGGACGAUGAUGACGGUACCCGUAGAAGAAGCCCCGGCUAACUUCGUGCCAGCAGCCGCGGUAAUACGAAGGGGGCUAGCGUUGCUCGGAAUGACUGGGCGUAAAGGGCGCGUAGGCGGUUUACACAGUCAGAUGUGAAAUUCCAGGGCUUAACCUUGGGGCUGCAUUUGAUACGUGUAGACUAGAGUGUGAGAGAGGGUUGUGGAAUUCCCAGUGUAGAGGUGAAAUUCGUAGAUAUUGGG